RNAcentral lists this ribosomal RNA (852 nucleotides) under Rhizophydium sp. PL-072. Its description in RNAcentral is "partial 28S ribosomal RNA". It matches the Rfam family "Eukaryotic large subunit ribosomal RNA", at positions 68 to 913 of the family's 3401-position model. Lineage: Eukaryota; Fungi; Chytridiomycota; Chytridiomycetes; Rhizophydiales; Rhizophydiaceae. The record is from RNAcentral.
UCAAGGAUCUCCCUAGNCGGCGAGNGAAGCGGGAACAGCCUCAAAUUUGAAAUCUCAGCGCAAGCUGCGAAUUGUAGAUUUAGAGAAACGUUUUCGGGGCCGGCCGCCAGUACAAGUUCUUUGGAACAAGGCAUCACAGAGGGUGAAAAUCCCGUCUUUGACUGGCACGCUUGGUUCCAUGUGAUACGUUUUCCAAGAGCUCGGUUUGUUUGGGAAUCAGACCAAAAUGGGUGGUAAAUACCAUCUAAAGCUAAAUAUUGGCGAGAGACCGAUAGCGAACAAGUACCGUGAGGGAAAGAUGAAAAGAACUUUGAAAAGAGAGUUAAAUAGUGCGUGAAAUUGUCAAAAGGGAAACGUUUAAAACCAGUAUUGCGGGCAGAAACUCACGUUCCAUUUAUGGUGCUGUAUUUUUCUGUCAGCGAGUCAACAUCAGUUUUGCUUGGAGUAAAACGCCAGGGGAAGGUCGGCCAGGGGAAGGUAGCUUCGGGUGUUAUAGCCUCUGGUAAUGCUCUGGGCGGGACUGAGGACUGCAGCGUUCUUUGGGUUUACCACAGUCCAACGCUUAGGAUGUUGACGAAAUGGUUUUAAGCGACCCGUCUUGAAACACGGACCAAGGAGUCUAACAUAUAUGCGAGUAUUUGGGUGGCAAACCCUUAUGCGCAAUGAAAGUGAAAAGGUGGGAUCCAAAGUUGGUGCACCAUCGACCGCGCCAGAUUAUUGCUAUCUCGGCGUGAGUAUGGAGCAUACAUGUUGGGACCCGAAAGAUGGUGACUAUGCCUGAAUAGGGUGAAGCCAGAGGAAACUCUGGUGGAGGCUCGUAGCGGUUCUGCGUGCAAAUCAUCGUCAAAUUUG